Molecule: ribosomal RNA, 852 nt
Filed under: uncultured fungus
Lineage: Eukaryota; Fungi
Description: SSU rRNA
Rfam family: Eukaryotic small subunit ribosomal RNA
Source: RNAcentral
CGGUAAUUCCAGCUCCAAUAGCGUAUAUUAAAGUUGUUGCAGUUAAAAAGCUCGUAGUUGAACCUUGGGUCUGGCUGGCCGGUCCGCCUCACCGCGAGUACUGGUCCGGCUGGACCUUUCCUUCUGGGGAACCUCAUGGCCUUCACUGGCUGUGGGGGGAACCAGGACUUUUACUGUGAAAAAAUUAGAGUGUUCAAAGCAGGCCUUUGCUCGAAUACAUUAGCAUGGAAUAAUAGAAUAGGACGUGUGGUUCUAUUUUGUUGGUUUCUAGGACCGCCGUAAUGAUUAAUAGGGAUAGUCGGGGGCGACAGUAUUCAGCUGUCAGAGGUGAAAUUCUUGGAUUUGCUGAAGACUAACUACUGCGAAAGCAUUCGCCAAGGAUGUUUUCAUUAAUCAGGGAACGAAAGUUAGGGGAUCGAAGACGAUCAGAUACCGUCGUAGUCUUAACCAUAAACUAUGCCGACUAGGGAUCGGACGGGAUUCUAUAAUGACCCGUUCGGCACCUUACGAGAAAUCAAAGUUUUUGGGUUCUGGGGGGAGUAUGGUCGCAAGGCUGAAACUUAAAGAAAUUGACGGAAGGGCACCACAAGGCGUGGAGCCUGCGGCUUAAUUUGACUCAACACGGGGAAAUUCACCAGGUCCAGACAAAAUAAGGAUUGACAGAUUGAGAGCUCUUUCUUGAUCUUUUGGAUGGUGGUGCAUGGCCGUUCUUAGUUGGUGGAGUGAUUUGUCUGCUUAAUUGCGAUAACGAACGAGACCUCGGCCCUUAAAUAGCCCGGUCCGCAUUUGCGGGCCGCUGGCUUCUUAGAGGGACUAUCGGCUCAAGCCGAUGGAAGUUUGAGGCAAUAACAG